AUGCUCACUUUGGCUCAGCACACAUACUAAAAUUGGAACGAUACAGAGAAGAUUAGCAUGGCCACUGCACAGGGGUGACAUGCAGAUUCAUGAAGCUGUCUGUGUUUUU
This is a small nuclear RNA of Lynx canadensis (Canada lynx), 109 nucleotides long. NCBI's taxonomy places the organism in Eukaryota, Metazoa, Chordata, Mammalia, Carnivora, Felidae. The record is from Ensembl.